Molecule: unclassified non-coding RNA, 326 nt
Filed under: soil metagenome
Description: partial contains 5.8S ribosomal RNA, internal transcribed spacer 2, and large subunit ribosomal RNA
Rfam family: 5.8S ribosomal RNA (bases 1-120)
Source: RNAcentral
GAUGAAGAACGCAGCGAAAUGCGAUAAGUAAUGUGAAUUGCAGAAUUCAGUGAAUCAUCGAAUCUUUGAACGCACAUUGCGCCCCUUGGUAUUCCGAGGGGCAUGCCUGUUCGAGCGUCAUAUUAACCACUCCCGCUUGCGGGGUCUUGGGCUUCGCCUCCGGGCGGGCCUUAAAAUCAGUGGCGGUGCCGUCGGGCUCUACGCGUAGUAAAUUUUCUCGCGAUAGGGUCCCGGUGGAUGCUUGCCAACAACCCCCAACUUCUUAAGGUUGACCUCGGAUCAGGUAGGGAUACCCGCUGAACUUAAGCAUUUCAAUAAGCGGAGGA